AAUUAAAAAUUUUAUUCAUUUUUUUUGUUAAAAGUUGACGUAGCUGACAGAAUAACUAAAUAAUUACACUUAUUGUGUCAUGUAUACAUCAUGCGCUAAUGUAUAAAGACCCGUUUUUAAAAGUAAAAUUGGAUGAAAUUAUAAUC
This is a non-coding RNA of Gossypium raimondii (Peruvian cotton), 146 nucleotides long. NCBI's taxonomy places the organism in Eukaryota, Viridiplantae, Streptophyta, Magnoliopsida, Malvales, Malvaceae. The record is from Rfam.